RNAcentral lists this long non-coding RNA (1038 nucleotides) under Crocodylus porosus (Australian saltwater crocodile). RNAcentral's name for it is "lncRNA (ENSCPRG00005008891.1)". The record is from RNAcentral. Lineage: Eukaryota; Metazoa; Chordata; Crocodylia; Crocodylidae.
AUGCAGUUUUGCCCCACCACUGCACUUCUCUCCCCGUUUCCUCUUUGUGCAGCCACAAAGGGGCCAAGGAGGAAAUGCCAGGGAGCUGGGUUGGGAGUGGGUUUCUAUGCUGCAGAAGGCACCGCUGGGUCAAGGUUUGGCCAAGCCCCAGCAGGAUCAGGGCCUCAGCGUGCUGAAAGAGGGGGACCCAGCAUCCCAUCACACUGCCCUGGGCGUCUUCUCACACGUCCUCCGCUGCUGGAUGACGGAGUCACAGCCCAGCCCCACUCGAGCCACCUCUCCCCUGCUUUAUGCAGGUUGCUUGCACACGUGGGGUUAUCAGGACCUGCAGGAUUGAACACUCAAGGCAGAAGUCAGCCUGCUUCCUUGUUAUUCAUCAUUUCUCCAUCUGACUUCUUCAGCCUGGCCACAGAGCCUUGCUCUGCACCGCCUGGUCUGCACUCGCCUGCCCUGCGCAGCUCAGCCGGGAUGGAGGGGGCUCUCGGCCCCCUCCUGCUCUCCCUCCUUCUGCUCCUCCAAGCUGGAGGUUGUCAAGAAGUAGAAGUGGCGGCUGCUGUUGGGGAGACGGUUCAGCUGCAGCCCAAGACACGGCCGUCGUCCUGGGUGGCAAUCACCUGGAAAGUGAAACUGCGUUCACAGCACUACUGGAUCCUCAGACACGAUCAGAACGGCACCUUGACCAGUCCGUUUCUGCCCUUCAGUGACAGAGUCUCUUUCCACCCUGGGAAUCUCUCGCUGCAGAUUAGCUCGGUCACGGAGAAAGAAAGCGGCCUCUACACCGUGGACCUGACGCUGGGGGAUAGCUCUGCAAUCACCAGUUAUUUUCGGCUUUUUGUGCUUGCCUCAUCACUGUCCUACUGCCAGGCCCAGGGGCACGUCCUGCUGCAGGUGCUGGGGGCACUGAUCACUGGGACACCCCAGUGUCCCGCUGACUCAGUACAGAGAUAUCAGGGCUGUAUGAUCUGGACCCAGAAAGUGAUUGCUCACACACGAGGUCCUGAUCACUCCAUGGCAGAGGGAACUGCUGAGUCUCUCUAA